GGCAGUGGCUGGCUGUGGGGACAGUAAGGGCCCUCUUGUCCUGGGGUGGGUUGGCAGCAGCCCUGUGACCUGUGGGCAUCUCCCUGCUGGCCUUUGGAGCUCACGCAGCUGUGAGCGGAGUCCCCCGCAUCACUGUCUCUGUCCAGCGUCGCUUCUCCAUGGAGGGCUGAGCUUGCCUUUGCUAGGCCCGCAUGCUGGCGACAGCAGAGCACCCAUCUCUCCUCUUCAUGGGCUCUGCCUGCUGCUCUAUUCUGCCACCUGCAUCCCAGACCCAUCCCUCUGACACCUCAGGUCCUUGGGCACUGGGCAUAUUCCAGGUCCCAAGAGAGCUCGCACCUGGAGUUCACUGCCCUGUCUCUGACUGGGUGUCCACCAUACCUACUGACACCCCAGCAAGCCCAGGACCCCUUUUCUGUUCCUGCAGUUUUUGGAGACAGAAUCUUGCUCUGUUGCCCAAGCUGGCCUCAAGCUCCUGGGCUCAAGCAAUCCUCCUGCCUCAGCCUUCUGAGUAGCUGGGACACAGGAGCACUCCUAAAACGGACUUGAGCAUGUUCUUGCUGUUCCUCUUCUUAGAAUGCUCCCCCAUGGCUGCACCUUCUUGGAUCACUUCCUUCUGGGUGGAACGCCCCUUCCCUGAGCUGCUGUGGAACACAUGUGAAAUUAUGUAUUUCCUUCUGAACUGGACUGUCACCUCUGAAAGAGCAGGGGUUUAUUCCCUAUCUGUCUGCUACUGUGUCCCCCCUGCUUAGGAAAUUGUCCAGUGUCUAGUGGGCGCUGAUGUUUGUUGAAUGAAUAACUGAUGGACCCUGUGUUAACUGUAUGGCUUUGAGACUUGUGCACCCUAUUUUCACAGGGUUUAGAACAAGUAAGUCCUAUUUUCUUUUCAGUUGUCUCCCCAGGGCAUGCGCUAGUUCCAAGCCCAAAAAGGCCCCCUGGAGGAGGAGAUAGGCGUGCAACUGAGCACAGACUCAGGAGCUACAUGGAGAUCAGUCCUCACUCCCACCACGGGCCCAGCUGUGGGUAUGAGCUCAUGAGAUCCUCAGCCCAUACCCAUUUCACGGAGGUGACAAUUGAGGCACAAGAAGGUUAAAUAGUGAAGCCAGUAGGGUGGAACCGAUGCUGGGACACAGUAGCUGCCACCUGAAAUUUAAAGAAGUGGGGAUUUAUUUUGGCUCAGGGUUUUAGUCUGUGAUCGCAGGACCCAGGCAGAAGUUACCUUCCGGAGGCCCCGCCUGUGACCUCGCUGGGCUUCGAGGAAGUCGCCCUGCAAACCAAGACUUAUCCCAGGUUCCCUCCUCUCAGCUCCUCCGCACCGCUGAGCCCAGGUACCUUCCUCUUCGAUCUUUUCGGGUAGGAAGCACUCGGCGUCUGUUGGACGUGGUUGUGUGGACUCUGAGCUAAGAUCAGGAUGAGAUCUAGAAAAACCCGGAGGGCCCCAAAUGUGGUACAAGAGACAAACCUGGGGGCAGAAGAGCCGCCUUCCGAAGCCCAGCCUGUGGCAUUGCUUCUGGCUGACCUUAGGCAGGCACCGUGGCCUCCCUGAUCUGGUGCAGAAAGCCCGGGAGGGGCUCGGUGAGUUGGGGCUUGGAGAACAGAGCCUGAAAGCAAAGUCACCCAGAGGUGGUGAGGGUCACACAUUUGCAGAAGUCACCGGACCGGGCUGGAGAGUGAGAAUGUUCAUCUGUUGUCACAGCUCAACUCCGCCCUUAUCCUGUGGUAGCAGCUAUGGAGGCCGCGGGGCAGGGGGAGUGGCUUCAGACCUUCUGAAGCACAGCGGGGGAUGGCGGUUGGUGGGAACAAAUCAAGUAUUUUAGAACAACUAGGAAAGGGCUCAAAUGUCCCCACACAAGGGAGUGAUCAGUGCCCAAGACAAUGGGAAUAGCAGUGAGUACUGCACCUAUACCUUCCCACCCUUACUAUGUGCCAAUCAAAAAGAAAAAAAACGCUGCAUGCUUUUCAUCCCAACACUCAGGGAGGCUGAGGCAGGAAGAUCGCAAGCCUGGGCAGUUUAACUGCUUAGCAAGUGCUGGGGAUGUAGCUCAAUGCAGAGGCCCUGGGCUCCAUCUCCAGUGCCACACACGAGAAGAUCUCUGUAUUUAUCCCACCUGCAUUUCUCAGAAGUGCCUGGGUCCUGGGGAGAGACGUCGGGGUCAGGGGGCCACACUCUGAAAAGCACAGCUUCAGGUCAGAGGUUCUCAACUGUGGCUUCAUAAUCACCAGGGACGUUAAGAAAGCCCCAGUGCCCGGGGAUGCACCCUGUUCAGCCCCACAGUGGAAGCAGGGUCACCGUGGAGGUGGGUCCAGGCAUGUAUGCUGCAAAAUCCCAGGUCCUCCUAACUGUGUACGGCUCGUCGCGUCUCUCCCUCACUCAGCCGAGGUCCCUAGUUCUGUGCACAACUUGGAAGUUGAACAUCUACUGGGGAAUGAAAAAAAAAGAGAGAGAGAGAGAGAAAACCCCAAACACAGUGUCUAAUCUGUUCCCGAGCCAACGCGGAAUCUUUCUUGUAUGAUUCAUGGUUUGGAUUCUCAUUUUGUUGGCUUCUCUCUGGGACACAUUGGUAGCUGAUUGUUAAAUAUUAAAAUAUUUCCACACCAGUUAGUAAACUGCUGUUGCCAGGGGCCCCCAAGAGAGCACCCCUGUCCCUGGAGUCCCUCCCAGGCCUCCCUGCCUCCUGAUGAUUGUCGCUCCAGGGGCUUCAUCUCCUUCGGUAGUAAUGACACCAUCCCUGUGUCUGAGGGUCCCCAGCCCACUGAUCUACAAGUCCCUCAUGGCGUAGGAUUGGUAUAGAACCUGCACACCCCCUCCUGCAGACUUUGAAUCACCUCUUGACUUAGAACGCCACGUGUACGGUGUGUAAACAGUUACACCAAAUUAGGGAGAAAUGAUAAGAAAUCUGAUCUGAGGAUACAGAAUCUACAGAUAUGGAGGACCGAAUGUACCUGUUUGUCCUCAACAUAUCUUGUUCUUGUUUCUGAGCAGAUGAGUAUUUUGAUUGAUAGCAAGUUCAGUUUGUGCUCUCAGAGCUAUAAAAAAGCACCCCUGUGUUUGCAGAGAGAGGUGGCGUUGAUUCCAACCCUGGUCCUGAAACUGAUCAGCUGGGCAAAUCUUUUAACUUCUCUGUUCCUUAAUUUACUAAUGGGUAAAGUGGAAAUAACACUUUCACCAUAGUUGUGAGGUGAGGUUUAAGUGAAGGAGUGCAUGCACAGGCCUUAGAACAGGGUAUGCAGUUAAUAUCAUAGUAGUGCUAGAUUUGUAUUAGUUAGCUAUAGCUGCACAACAAGCAUGCACAAAUCAUGGCACAUGACCACAGGUUUGGGGUAUUAAACCACACAUGUUUACUAGCUCAAGUUUCAUUAAGUCUCAGGUCUUGGUGUGGGUCCUCUUCUUCAAGGUCCUGCCCAAGGCAAACCAGAAGCUAAAGUGUCAGCCAGGAUUGGGUUGUCAGAAAGCUACACUGGGGAAGAAUGGCUUUGGGGCUUGCACAGUUGUGGCAAUAUUCUGUUCUUUGCAAAAAUGGUGGCACUGGGGGACGCGGAUUUAGCUCAGUGGUUCCACCACCUGCCUCGAAAGCACAAGGUUCCAAGUUCAAUCUCCAGUACCAAAACAAAACCAAACCAAAACAAACCAAAAAAAUUGGUGGGACUGAAGGCCACUGGCAAGUGGAUGUGCUUGAUUCCUGUCCCUUAGGGCAGUUGGCUUUGUCAGAGCAGCCUAAGAAAGAAGCACCAGGCAGAGCUAAGUGAGAGCAGUGUGUAAUCUACUCGCAGACAGGAUGUCCCCAACAGGGGAGGAGCUGUUGGGCAGAGGCAGGCUUCCCUGGAGGAUCACACAGGCUGUGUGCACAGCAGGGAGGACCGUGGACCCUGCUGCCCUCUGUGGGGACUGCAUCUUGGUCAUCACCGCCCCAUUUGGGGACAGCUUUCUGGAGCACUGCAGCAUCUGGAAGGCCCCUGAGUCACCAGUUCAUGCUGGCUGCCCAAAAGUUAGGGGCCUGGCUCACAGAGGAGGUGCCACCCCUCUGAACCAUGAGGCCUCUGCUCAAGAGAAGCUGAGUGCUGCCAUGUGGCAAUGGGGACUCUUUUGGGCUAAGUCUUCUGAUUUUUGGAGAAAAGGCAACAUUUUCAUUUUUAUGCAUAAUCCCCUGGCUUAUUAGUAACAUAUUUGGAUCUUAAGACAUGGAUAGAUCAAAGAAACAAGUCAUGAGCUUUUUAUUUCUAACAUCUGCUGUCAACCCUACUCAUUAGUAUAAAUACGAGUUAUUAAUUUUGCUGUGAAAAUUUUUUUUGAGACAGGGUCUCUCUGUGUACUUCAGGCUGGCCUUGAACUCACUGUGUAACCCAAGGUGGCCUUGAGCUUGUGUGAUCCUCCUGCCUCAUCCUUCCGAGUCCUGGGAUGACUCUCGGCUUUGUUGUGGAUUUUUAAAAGAGGAAAGUUAGGAGAAGGAAGAAGAUGGGGAGGGAGGAGACGCCAGUGAGACCAGGGAUAUCUGAACUAGGACAGCAGCACUGGAAAUAAAUGUGAGAAGAUCCCAGAAAUAUUUCAGAAGAAUCAGUAGCCAAGAGAUCCCUUCUCUACAUUGGUUUUAGGUGUAUGACUUCAAGUAGGAAAACCAAUUAUUCUGAACCUGAGUUAUGAAAGUAGUUUAAAG
Molecule: long non-coding RNA, 4649 nt
Filed under: Heterocephalus glaber (naked mole-rat)
Lineage: Eukaryota; Metazoa; Chordata; Mammalia; Rodentia; Bathyergidae
Description: lncRNA (ENSHGLG00000042660.1)
Source: RNAcentral